Molecule: non-coding RNA, 84 nt
Organism: Lupinus angustifolius (narrow-leaved blue lupine)
Lineage: Eukaryota; Viridiplantae; Streptophyta; Magnoliopsida; Fabales; Fabaceae
Source: Rfam
UUUGGGAAAUGAUGCUAUAUAAUCCUCGACAUAGGUUGAAGCUCUGCUGAAUUUAUUGUAUUUGCACGUCAGUCUGAUCCCAAG